CGGGUUGUAAAGCACUUUCAGUCGUGAGGAAGGCGGUACGUUAUAGCGUAUCGUUUGACGUUAGCGACAGAAGAAAGCACCGGCUAACUCCGUGCCAGCAGCCGCGGUAAUACGGAGGGUGCGAGCGUUAAUCGGAAUUACUGGGCGUAAAGCGCAUGCAGGUGGUUUGUUAAGUCAGAUGUGAAAGACCCGGGGCGUCAACCUACGGAAUAGCAUUUGUAAACUAGGCAGACUAGAGUACUGUAGAGGGGGGUAGGAAUUUCAGGUGUAGCGGUGAAAAUGCGUAGAGAUCUGAAGGAAUACCGGUGGCGAAGGCGGCCCCCUCGGACAGAUACUGACACUCAGAUGCGAAAGCGUGGGGAGCAAACAGGAUUAGAUACCCUGGUAG
Molecule: ribosomal RNA, 388 nt
Filed under: uncultured bacterium
Lineage: Bacteria
Description: bacterial SSU rRNA
Rfam family: Bacterial small subunit ribosomal RNA
Source: RNAcentral